This 253-nucleotide ribosomal RNA is filed under the name uncultured bacterium. RNAcentral describes it as "partial 16S ribosomal RNA". It matches the Rfam family "Bacterial small subunit ribosomal RNA", at positions 524 to 776 of the family's 1533-position model. The record is from RNAcentral.
GACGUAGGGGGCCAGCGUUGUUCGGAAUUACUGGGUGUAAAGGGUUCGUAGGCGGUGCGGCAAGUCGGGAGUGAAAUCUCUGGGCUUAACCCAGAGGCUGCUUCCGAAACUGCUGUGCUUGAGUGUGGGAGAGGCGCGUGGAAUUGCAGGUGUAGCGGUGAAAUGCUUAGAUAUGACAUAGAACACCAAUUGCGAAGGCAGCUUACUACAUAGUUAUUGACACUGAGGCACGAAAGCGUGGGGAUCAAACAGG